GGAGGGGUGCCCGAGCGGUCGAAGGGGCUCGCCUGGAAAGCGAGUGUGCCGCUUUCGCGGUACCGAGGGUUCGAAUCCCUCCCCCUCCG
This 89-nucleotide transfer RNA is filed under the name Bacteroidota bacterium. Its description in RNAcentral is "Bacteroidetes bacterium (microbial mat metagenome) tRNA-Ser". It matches the Rfam family "tRNA". Rfam says of the family: Transfer RNA (tRNA) molecules are approximately 80 nucleotides in length. Their secondary structure includes four short double-helical elements and three loops (D, anti-codon, and T loops). The record is from RNAcentral. Lineage: Bacteria; Pseudomonadati; Bacteroidota.